AGUGGGGAAUAUUGCACAAUGAGGGAAACCUUGAUGCAGCCAUGCCGCGUGUGUGAAGAAGGCCCGAGGGUUGUAAAGCACUUUCAAUUGUGAGGAAGAUUAAGUAGCUAAUAUCUGCUUAAUUUGACGUUAACUUUAGAAGAAGCACCGGCUAACUCUGUGCCAGCAGCCGCGGUAAUACAGAGGGUGCAAGCGUUAUUCGGAAUUACUGGGCGUAAAGCGCGCGUAGGCGGACUGUUAAGUCGGUUGUGAAAGCCCUGGGCUCAACCUAGGAACUGCAUCCGAUACUGGCAAUCUAGAGUUUAAGAGAGGGAAGUGGAAUUCCAGGUGUAGCAGUGAAAUGCGUAGAUAUCUGGAGGAACAUCAGUGGCGAAGGCGACUUCCUGGCUUAAAACUGACGCUGAGGUGCGAAAGCUUGGGUAGCGAACGGGAUUAGAUACCCCGGUAGUCCAAGCCGUAAACGAUGUCAACUAGCUGUUGGUCUUAUUAAAAAGAUUAGUAGCGUAGCUAACGCGAUAAGUUGACCGCCUGGGGAGUACGGUCGCAAGAUUAAAACUCAAAGGAAUUGACGGGGGCCCGCACAAGCGGUGGAGCAUGUGGUUUAAUUCGAUGCAACGCGAAGAACCUUACCAUCCCUUGACAUCCUGCGAACUUUCUAGAGAUAGAUUGGUGCCUUCGGGAACGCAGUGACAGGUGCUGCAUGGCUGUCGUCAGCUCGUGUCGUGAGAUGUUGGGUUAAGUCCCGCAACGAGCGCAACCCUUAUCAUUAGUUGCUAACAUUUAGUUGAGAACUCUAAUGAGACUGCCGGUGAUAAACCGGAGGAAGGCUGGGACGACGUCAAGUCAUCAUGGCCCUUAUGGGAUGGGCUACACACGUGCUACAAUGGGGGGUACAAAGAGCAGCCAACUGGCGACAGUGCGCGAAUCUCAUAAAACCUCUCGUAGUCCGGAUCGGAGUCUGCAACUCGACUCCGUGAAGUCGGAAUCGCUAGUAAUCGUGAAUCAGAAUGUCACGGUGAAUACGU
Molecule: ribosomal RNA, 1025 nt
Filed under: uncultured bacterium
Lineage: Bacteria
Description: bacterial SSU rRNA
Rfam family: Bacterial small subunit ribosomal RNA
Source: RNAcentral